GUAUUUGGGCUAAGAAGGCAGCCAAUAUUUUGGCCCUGGCCCUCCAAGGUCAACAACAAUAACAAAAAGAUCCAGGACAUAAGGGAACUAUCUCUGAGAUCCUGUAUUUUUGGUGAGUCAUCCAACCUCCUGAGCAGGGAGGUUGCUGAACACCAAAACAGUAAAGAUCCAACAAAAAGUGUGCCAAAGGAAUGUCACCUGGAGGAAAAAAUCUCCCAUGCUUUCGCAGGAAGCAACAUGGUCAAGCAAGGCCGUGACAUAUCCUUAUGGCUGACACUGACAGAGGAGCUAAGAGGCUCUAUGCAUGGUUCCAAGACAGUGCCUGUGGAGACUUAAUUGACCUUGUUAGAUAACAAGAGAUUGAUUUUAUUUAAUAUAGGUCUCACCGUAACUUGGUCUCACCGUAACUUGGUCUUAAACACCCAGUAGAAAAGUAUAACUAAAGACAAUGGUUAUUUGAGUUCAACAAAAGUUUUAAGUUUUUAAACCCAAUGUUUAAAAACAAAUUGUUAGAUUUUUUAAUCCUUUUACAGCCCCAAUUAAGAAAAAUUAUGCUUAUUAUAGACAGCUAAGCCAGUCAAACUAUAGAUCCUCACACUACAUAGGGAC
This 609-nucleotide long non-coding RNA is filed under the name Heterocephalus glaber (naked mole-rat). RNAcentral describes it as "lncRNA (ENSHGLG00100039871.1)". The record is from RNAcentral. Lineage: Eukaryota; Metazoa; Chordata; Mammalia; Rodentia; Bathyergidae.